UACGGAGGAUGCAAGUGUUAUCCGGAAUCACUGGGCGUAAAGCGUCUGUAGGUUGUUUAAAAAGUCUACUGUUAAAACUUGGAGCUUAACUUCAAAGAUGCCGUGGAAACUUUUAAACUUGAGUAUGGUAGGGGUAGAGGGAAUUUCCAGUGGAGCGGUGAAAUGCGUAGAUAUUGGAAAGAACACCAAUGGCGAAGGCACUCUACUGGGCCACUACUGACACUGAGAGACGAAAGCUAGGGGAGCAAAUGGG
RNAcentral lists this ribosomal RNA (253 nucleotides) under uncultured bacterium. RNAcentral describes it as "partial 16S ribosomal RNA". It matches the Rfam family "Bacterial small subunit ribosomal RNA", at positions 524 to 776 of the family's 1533-position model. The record is from RNAcentral.